This 368-nucleotide ribosomal RNA is filed under the name uncultured organism. Its description in RNAcentral is "bacterial SSU rRNA". It matches the Rfam family "Bacterial small subunit ribosomal RNA", at positions 526 to 896 of the family's 1533-position model. The record is from RNAcentral.
CGGAGGUGGCGAGCGUUACUCGGAAUUAUUGGGUGUAAAGGGCAAGUAGGCGGUUUAUUAAGUGAGAGGUGAAAUCUUUCGACUCAAUCGGGAAAUUGCCUUUCAAACUGAUAAACUUGAGGCUGGAAGAGGGAAAUGGAAUUCGCGGUGUAAGGGUGAAAUCUGUAGAUAUCGCGAAGAACACCAACGGCGUAGGCAAUUUCCUGGUCCAGAUCUGACGCUAAAUUGCGAAAGCUAGGGGAGCAAACAGAAUUAGAUACUCUGGUAGUCCUAGCUGUAAACGAUGAGUACUAGGUGUUGGCCCGUAAGGGUUAGUGCCGCAGCUAACGCAUUAAGUACUCCACCUGGGGACUACGGCCGCAAGGCUA